Long non-coding RNA from Perca fluviatilis (European perch), 404 nucleotides. RefSeq lists it as uncharacterized. Lineage: Eukaryota; Metazoa; Chordata; Actinopteri; Perciformes; Percidae. The transcript has 4 exons. The record is from RefSeq and is a predicted model, not a curated record.
GAAGCUGAAACAUGUUUGUUGUUUUGCUGUCAGAGACAAAGGUUUCAGUCGACACACGAUAAGAUGUCUCGGUGUCCCAGAAGUCUUCCAGGUCCAGCUGCAGCGUGAGAAACCCUCCAAUCAGAGCAGUCAAAAUCCAACCCAGCUGUUUGUCCUUCAAGAGCGACCGGUCAAAGGAAGGUUUAAUUGAUUUUAAACAAAGACAUCCAUCUGACAGAAAAGUGGACCAAGAGAUCUCGGAGGUUUCCAGUGGUCAGUCUUCCCAGCAGCAUCAAACACACCUGGACUCCAUAUUUAUGCUGCUGGAGUUGGACAUUGUCACUUUUGUGAAGAAGAAGCUGAAGAAGAUCCAGAAGGUUCUGAGUCCAGAUUACCCAGAAUGCUCAGAGAGUCAGAGGGAGGAU